AUUGAACGCUGGCGGCAGGCCUAACACAUGCGAGUCGAACGGUAACAGGAAGAAGCUUGCUUCUUUGCUGACGAGUGGCGGACGGGUGAGUAAUGUCUGGGAAACCGCCUGAUGGAGGGGGAUAACUACUGGAAACGGUAGCUAAUACCGCAUAACGUCGCAAGACCAAAGAGGGGGACCUUCGGGCCUCUUGCCAUCGGAUGUGCCCAGAUGAGAUUAGCUAGUAGGUGGGGUAACGGCUCACCUAGGCGACGAUCCCUAGCUGGUCUGAGAGGAUGACCAGCCACACUGGAACUGAGACACGGUCCAGACUCCUACGGGAGGCAGCAGUGGGGAAUAUUGCACAAUGGGCGCAAGCCUGAUGCAGCCAUGCCGCGUGUAUGAAGAAGGCCUUCGGGUUGUAAAGUACUUUCAGCGGGGAGGAAGGGAGUAAAGUUAAUACCUUUGCUCAUUGACGUUACCCGCAGAAGAAGCACCGGCUAACUCCGUG
This 490-nucleotide ribosomal RNA is filed under the name uncultured bacterium. RNAcentral describes it as "partial 16S ribosomal RNA". It matches the Rfam family "Bacterial small subunit ribosomal RNA", at positions 30 to 507 of the family's 1533-position model. The record is from RNAcentral.